RNAcentral lists this ribosomal RNA (422 nucleotides) under uncultured cyanobacterium. RNAcentral describes it as "bacterial SSU rRNA". It matches the Rfam family "Bacterial small subunit ribosomal RNA", at positions 358 to 795 of the family's 1533-position model. The record is from RNAcentral. Lineage: Bacteria; Bacillati; Cyanobacteriota.
GGAAUUUUCCGCAAUGGGCGAAAGUCUGACGGAGCGACGCUGCGUGAAGGAUGACGGCCUGCGGGUUGUAAACUUCUUUUCUCGAAGAAGAAGCUUUGACGGUAUUCGAGGAAUAAGCAUCGGCUAACUCCGUGCCAGCAGCCGCGGUAAUACGGGAGUGGCAAGCGUUAUCCGGAAUUAUUGGGCGUAAAGCGUCCGCAGGCGGCCCUUCAAGUCUGCUGUUAAAAAGUGGAGCUUAACUCCAUCAUGGCAGUGGAAACUGUUGGGCUUGAGUGUGGUAGGGGCAGAGGGAAUUCCCGGUGUAGCGGUGAAAUGCGUAGAUAUCGGGAAGAACACCAGUGGCGAAGGCGCUCUGCUGGGCCAUCACUGACGCUCAUGGACGAAAGCCAGGGGAGCGAAAGGGAUUAGAUACCCCAGUAGUC